CCUACGGGAGGCAGCAGUGGGGAAUAUUGCACAAUGGGCGAAAGCCUGAUGCAGCAACGCCGCGUGAAGGAAGAAGGGUUUCGGCUCGUAAACUUCUUUUCUCAGGGACGAAGCAAGUGACGGUACCUGAGGAAUAAGCCACGGCUAACUACGUGCCAGCAGCCGCGGUAAUACGUAGGUGGCAAUCGUUAUCCGGAUUUACUGGGUGUAAAGGGCGUGUAGGCGGGACUGCAAGUCAGAUGUGAAAUUCACGGGCUCAACCUGUGGCCUGCAUUUGAAACUGUAGUUCUUGAGUACUGGAGAGGCAGACGGAAGUCCUAGUGUAGCGGUGAGAUGCGUAGAUAUUAGGAGGAACACCAGUGGCGAAGGCGGUCUGCUGGACAGAAACUGACGCUGAGGCGCGAAAGCGUGGGGAGCAAACAGGAUUAGAUACCCCUGUAGUC
This 443-nucleotide ribosomal RNA is filed under the name uncultured bacterium. Its description in RNAcentral is "partial 16S ribosomal RNA". It matches the Rfam family "Bacterial small subunit ribosomal RNA", at positions 338 to 795 of the family's 1533-position model. The record is from RNAcentral.